Lolium rigidum is the source of this 874-nucleotide long non-coding RNA. RefSeq lists it as uncharacterized. The transcript is spliced from 2 exons. The record is from RefSeq and is a predicted model, not a curated record. NCBI's taxonomy places the organism in Eukaryota, Viridiplantae, Streptophyta, Magnoliopsida, Poales, Poaceae.
ACCCCCUCCCCUGUGUCGCAGCCGCGAGGCGCCAACGCGAGCCUCCGCCCGUCCCCCCAUCGCGGGGACUCAGGGGAGCAUCCAACCCCUAGCUGCCAUCAUGUUUCUUUUUCUUUUCGUUGCCUGGAGGUGAAUUUACUUAGCAGCUCGAUUUUAUUCUGAAACAUUGUAGAUAGUUGAAUUAUUUCUUCUCUGCCUGGGGAUCGGCUCGAGUGUCGCUUGGGCCGGCAUGGAUCCAAGAUCGACGGCGCCGUCCUCGUCGAUUGCAGAGGUGAUGAUGGGGAACUGAAACUGGUAGCUCGCCGAGCGGUCCAGCUAAAACAUUGAUCUUUUUCCCUUCGUAGCUAGUGUUCACCGCUUGCUAAUUACAAGUGUAGUGGAUGCUUCCAAAUUAAUAGAUGAUACGUUUUUCAAAAACUCAUUCUACACUAUAGUAGGAGGAAUCAGCAUAAUCGAUAUGAAUCGGCUUGAGCUGGAUUUGUUGUUUAACCUGGAUUUCAUGCUGAAGGUGAAACUGGAGAUGUUUGGGAAGUUGGAGAAAUAUGCAACUGCUUCACCAGAGAGGGUGCCGGUUCACCAAGCUGGUGCGCCAAAGUUACGCCAGUCAAGCUGUCCAAGGAUGUAGCUGACCAAGUUAUUUGCGCCUUUGUAGAGCAUAGGACCAGAUUACUGAUUUUGUUUAGAUCUGACAUUUGUACAUUCGGAUUAUGUUUAAGUGGUUCUAGAGUGUUUGAUUGGUAGGGCAUCAAUUAUUGUGCACUCAUAUUGUGUAAAGUCGUUCUCGAGUGUUUGGUUAGCGGCAUCAAUUAAGUCUAAUUCGGCAUCAUUGUUGUGUUUUUCAUGAUCAUUUGUACUACAAUGAUUCUGGCUUUUC